ACCCAAAACUCCCUAAAGCUCUGCACUCCGCCGCGUUGAAAUCCCUUUUCCUCGCGAAUAUCAGGUAUGAAGCAUCGCUGACAAAAUCUCUGAAGCUCAAAUUUACUUUGAAAUCCCUCUUUUUCUGUUCACAGCCACAACUUCAACCUCUCUUCCGUUCCUUCUUGGAAAUACAAAUCCACGUCCAGUAAGAGUCCAUUUUCUAUUUCUUAUUCUUCUUCCUCUCACACAUACGACGUCGUCAUAGUGGGGGCUGGCGUUAUUGGCUUAACCAUUGCUCGCCACUUUCUCCUUUCUUCCGACCCUUCUAUCGCCAUUGUCGAUAAGGUUGUCCCUUGUUCCGGUGCCACUGGCGCAGAUGAGUGAAGAGGUGGAGCGUGCUUUGGCAAAGUUAGGUCCCGCAAGAAUUAAUGGAAGGCGUCAUUGGCAGCUUCUUGUUAUGUCUAUGCAAGAGAACUAUGCUUUGUGGUCCUGCUCAUUGCACAUGCCUCCUCCCACACAUCUCAGAAAAGCAAUUGAUUGUUCUAUUCCAACAAGUAUGAUGAUGGUUGGCAGAUCAAUUGUUAAC
Molecule: long non-coding RNA, 568 nt
Organism: Vigna radiata var. radiata (mung bean)
Lineage: Eukaryota; Viridiplantae; Streptophyta; Magnoliopsida; Fabales; Fabaceae
Exons: 4
Source: RefSeq, a predicted model, not a curated record